GCUCUAGUAGCUUAAAUUUAUCUAAAGCGUCGUUCUUGUAAACCGAAGUUGGGUCUCCCCUUGAGCA
RNAcentral lists this transfer RNA (67 nucleotides) under Daboia russelii (Russell's viper). Its description in RNAcentral is "tRNA-Thr". Lineage: Eukaryota; Metazoa; Chordata; Lepidosauria; Squamata; Viperidae. The record is from RNAcentral.